Molecule: ribosomal RNA, 1270 nt
Filed under: metagenome
Description: bacterial LSU rRNA
Rfam family: Bacterial large subunit ribosomal RNA
Source: RNAcentral
GCCCGUACCGUAAACCGACACAGGUGGGUGAGGAGAGUAUCCUAAGGCCAGCGAGAGAACUAUUGUUAAGGAACUCGGCAAAAUGACCCCGUAACUUAGGGAGAAGGGGUGCCUGUCUAUGACAGGCCGCAGAGAAUAGGCCCAAGCGACUGUUUACCAAAAACACAGGUUUCUGCUAAGUCGCAAGACGAUGUAUAGGAGCUGACGCCUGCCCGGUGCUGGAAGGUUAAGGGGAUCUGUUAGAGCAAUCGAAGCAGUGAACUUAAGCCCCAGUAAACGGCGGCCGUAACAAUAACGGUCCUAAGGUAGCGAAAUUCCUUGUCGGGUAAGUUCCGACCCGCACGAAAGGCGUAACGAUUUGGGCACUGUCUCAACAAUAGACUCGGUGAAAUUGUAAUCCCGGUGAAGAUGCCGGGUACCUGCGACAGGACGGAAAGACCCCAUGGAGCUUUACUGUAGCUUGACGUUGGGUCUUGGUACUACAUGUACAGGAUAGGUGGGAGACCAUGAAGCAUGGACGCCAGUCUGUGUGGAGUCAUCCUUGGGAUACCACCCUUGUAGUACUGGGAUCCUAACCAUAGGCCUUGAAUCAGGUCUUGGAACACCGUCAGGUGGGCAGUUUGACUGGGGCGGUCGCCUCCUAAAAAGUAACGGAGGCGCUCAAAGGUUUCCUCAGCACGGUCGGAAAUCGUGCGAAGAGUGUAAAGGCAAAGGGAAGCUUGAUUGCAAGACAUACAGGUCGAGCAAGGACGAAAGUCGGACUUAGUGAUCCGGUGGUACCGCAUGGAAGGGCCAUCGCUCAACGGAUAAAAGCUACCCUGGGGAUAACAGGCUUAUCUCCCCCAAGAGUCCACAUCGACGGGGAGGUUUGGCACCUCGAUGUCGGCUCAUCACAUCCUGGGGCUGUAGUAGGUCCCAAGGGUUGGGCUGUUCGCCCAUUAAAGUGGUACGCGAGCUGGGUUCAGAACGUCGUGAGACAGUUCGGUCCCUAUCCGUCGCAGGCGUAGGAAAUUUGAGAGGACCUGUCCUUAGUACGAGAGGACCGGGAUGGACGUACCUCUGGUGUACCAGUUGUUCUGCCAAGGGCAUGGCUGGGUAGCUAUGUACGGAAUGGAUAAGCGCUGAAAGCAUCUAAGCGCGAAGCCAACUUCAAGAUAAGAUUUCCCACCGUAAGGGUAAGACCCCAGGAAGACUACCUGGUUGAUAGGUCGAAGGUGUAAGUGCAGUAAUGUAUUUAGCUUAUCGAUACUAAUAGGUCGAGGACUUGAUC